RNAcentral lists this small nuclear RNA (20 nucleotides) under Arabidopsis thaliana (thale cress). Its description in RNAcentral is "snRNA_00372". The record is from RNAcentral. Lineage: Eukaryota; Viridiplantae; Streptophyta; Magnoliopsida; Brassicales; Brassicaceae.
UUCAGAUCCAUUUCUAAGCU